RNAcentral lists this ribosomal RNA (738 nucleotides) under Stenotrophomonas sp. 111117_136_C_H9. RNAcentral describes it as "bacterial SSU rRNA". It matches the Rfam family "Bacterial small subunit ribosomal RNA", at positions 22 to 749 of the family's 1533-position model. The record is from RNAcentral. Lineage: Bacteria; Pseudomonadati; Pseudomonadota; Gammaproteobacteria; Lysobacterales; Lysobacteraceae.
GCUCAGAGUGAACGCUGGCGGUAGGCCUAACACAUGCAAGUCGAACGGCAGCACAGGAGAGCUUGCUCUCUGGGUGGCGAGUGGCGGACGGGUGAGGAAUACAUCGGAAUCUACCUUUUCGUGGGGGAUAACGUAGGGAAACUUACGCUAAUACCGCAUACGACCUUCGGGUGAAAGCAGGGGACCUUCGGGCCUUGCGCGGAUAGAUGAGCCGAUGUCGGAUUAGCUAGUUGGCGGGGUAAAGGCCCACCAAGGCGACGAUCCGUAGCUGGUCUGAGAGGAUGAUCAGCCACACUGGAACUGAGACACGGUCCAGACUCCUACGGGAGGCAGCAGUGGGGAAUAUUGGACAAUGGGCGCAAGCCUGAUCCAGCCAUACCGCGUGGGUGAAGAAGGCCUUCGGGUUGUAAAGCCCUUUUGUUGGGAAAGAAAAGCAGCCAGUUAAUACCUGGUUGUUCUGACGGUACCCAAAGAAUAAGCACCGGCUAACUUCGUGCCAGCAGCCGCGGUAAUACGAAGGGUGCAAGCGUUACUCGGAAUUACUGGGCGUAAAGCGUGCGUAGGUGGUUGUUUAAGUCUGUUGUGAAAGCCCUGGGCUCAACCUGGGAAUUGCAGUGGAUACUGGACGACUAGAGUGUGGUAGAGGGUAGUGGAAUUCCUGGUGUAGCAGUGAAAUGCGUAGAGAUCAGGAGGAACAUCCAUGGCGAAGGCAGCUACCUGGACCAACACUGACACUGA